Molecule: unclassified non-coding RNA, 316 nt
Filed under: Hevea brasiliensis (rubber tree)
Lineage: Eukaryota; Viridiplantae; Streptophyta; Magnoliopsida; Malpighiales; Euphorbiaceae
Source: RNAcentral
AAAGUUCGCUGAGAUUGUUCUGAAUAGGAGUUCCAGUCAUCAAUAACCGCCUUGGGAUAAGAAAACGCUCUAGAAGUACAUUGUACAGAACACUUGACGGGUUUUUAAGUCUCUGUGCUUCAUCAAUGACAGCAUAUUGCCAGGGCAUCUGAGAGAGGAAAUCUUGAUCCAUCAAUGCUAUGUCGUAUGUAGUCAACAGAAUGUCGAAAGGAAACAACACAUCAGAUACUGGUUGCUCUGUUGCAUGCUCAAACAUACGCCUGCGAGCAUCUCGUCUGGUUUCUUUAUCUCCAACAUAUUGAAGAACAUUUAAACA